RNAcentral lists this ribosomal RNA (165 nucleotides) under uncultured bacterium. Its description in RNAcentral is "partial 16S ribosomal RNA". The stretch from base 37 to 165 matches the Rfam family "Bacterial small subunit ribosomal RNA", at positions 403 to 528 of the family's 1533-position model. The record is from RNAcentral.
GAAGGCAGGGCGGAGGCGGAUCAGCCAUGCCGCGGGGCAGGAUGACGGCCCUAUGGGUUGUAAACUGCUUUUAUAGGGGAAGAAACCCCCCCUACGUGUAGGGGGUUGACGGUACCCUAAGAAUAAGGAUCGGCUAACUCCGUGCCAGCAGCCGCGGUAAUACGA